Molecule: ribosomal RNA, 523 nt
Filed under: uncultured bacterium
Lineage: Bacteria
Description: partial 16S ribosomal RNA
Rfam family: Bacterial small subunit ribosomal RNA
Source: RNAcentral
GACGAACGCUGGCGGCGUGCCUAAUACAUGCAAGUCGAGCGCAGGAAACUGACGGAGCUCUUCGGAGGAAAGGCAGCGGAAUGAGCGGCGGACGGGUGAGUAACACGUAAGGAACCUGCCUCAAGGAUUGGGAUAACUCCGAGAAAUCGGAGCUAAUACCGAAUAGUUCAACGGACCGCAUGGUCCGCUGAUGAAAGGCGCUCCGGCGUCACCUUGAGAUGGCCUUGCGGUGCAUUAGCUAGUUGGUGGGGUCACGGCCCACCAAGGCGACGAUGCAUAGCCGACCUGAGAGGGUGAUCGGCCACACUGGGACUGAGACACGGCCCAGACUCCUACGGGAGGCAGCAGUAGGGAAUCUUCCACAAUGGACGAAAGUCUGAUGGAGCAACGCCGCGUGAGUGAUGAAGGUUUUCGGAUCGUAAAACUCUGUUGUAAGGGAAGAACACGUACAAGAGGGAAUGCUCGUACCUUGACGGUACCUUACGAGAAAGCCACGGCUAACUACGUGCCAGCCGCCGCGUAA